This 1155-nucleotide ribosomal RNA is filed under the name Triticum aestivum (bread wheat). RNAcentral describes it as "partial small subunit ribosomal RNA". Lineage: Eukaryota; Viridiplantae; Streptophyta; Magnoliopsida; Poales; Poaceae. The record is from RNAcentral.
AUGAGCAGAGGUGGAAAAUUCAAAAGAAAUGAUAAGAAAGACCUUGCACAAUUUUUUAAGGUAGAAGUGAGGAGUAUACAGAGAGUUUGGCAGAAGGCGAUGGAGCAAAUUUCAGAAGGUGUAGAGGUGGAUGUUUCCGAUCAGAGAAAAGGAAACUCUGGAAGAAAGCCAAAGGACAUCAAUUUAGAGCAAAUCCCUACCAUCCCACUAAACAAGAGGUCCACUAUCAGAUCUCUAGCUUGGCAACUGGGAUGUAGCCCUACCACACUGCAUAGAAAGUUCAAGCUAAAUUUGAUAAAAAGGCACACAAACUGUGUGAAUCCAACUCUAAAGGAAAAGAAUAUGAAGGAUAGGAUGGAAUUUUGUAUGUCAAUGCUUGACGAGACAACGAUAGAAACUUCAAGGCCUAAAUUCAAGACGAUGCAUAAUGUUGUGCACAUUGAUGAGAAGUGGUUCAAUAUGAUGAAGAAAAAUAAGACCUACUAUCUGCUGGAUGGGGAGGAGGAGCCUACGAGACCCAUACAUGGCAACUGCAUUGGCAAGGUGAUGUUCUUAACGUCCGUUGCUAGGCCAAGGUGGGAUCGUGAAGGAAACGUGACCUUCUCUGGGAAAAUCGGUAUCUGGCCAUUUGUGAAAGAAGUUCCUGCUCAGAGGAGAAGUGAUAAUAGGCCCAGAGGUACAAUAGAGACAAAGUCAAUAAAGGUCGACAGAAAAGUGAUGAGGGAGUUCCUGAUAGAGAAGGUCUUGCCAGCGAUACAAGCAGUUUGGCCUGAAAGUGAUGCUGGACAGACCAUCUAUAUUCAGCAGGAUAAUGCUAAGCCCCAUAUCUUGCCAAAUGAGCCAGAAUUUCUAGUAGCUAUCGCAAAAACUGGACUUGACAUCAGAAUAAUACAGCAGCCCGCCAACAGUCCUGAUUUGAAUGUGCUUGACCUUGGGUUUUUCAACUCGCUUCAAUCCCUAACAGAUUGUCCGAGUCCUAAAACACUACAAGACCUUAUUAAUGGUGUUUUGGAGGAAUUUGAAGGCUAUGAGGUUUACAAGCUCAAUAGAAUUUUCCUAACUCUGCAAACGUGCAUGAUUGAGAUCCUGAACCAUGCAGGGGGUAAUGGGUAUAAAAUACCACAUGUGAACAAGGAAAGGCUCGAGGGUCUUGGG